This 956-nucleotide ribosomal RNA is filed under the name uncultured bacterium. Its description in RNAcentral is "bacterial SSU rRNA". It matches the Rfam family "Bacterial small subunit ribosomal RNA", at positions 63 to 1027 of the family's 1533-position model. The record is from RNAcentral.
UGAGGGGCAGCGGGGAGUGGCAACACUCCGCCGGCGACCGGCGGAAGGGUGCGUAACACGUGAGCAACCUGCCCGUGACCGGGGGAUAACCGGCGGAAACGCCGCCUAAUACCCCAUAACAGCGGGGGCCGCAUGGUCCCUUCUUGAAAGACCCGUCGGUCACGGAUGGGCUCGCGGGACAUUAGCUAGUCGGCGGGGCGACGGCCCACCGAGGCGACGAUGUCUAGGGGUCCUGAGAGGAUGAUCGCCCACACUGGGACUGAGACACGGUCCAGACUCCUACGGGAGGCAGCAGUGAGGAAUAUUGCACAAUGGGCGAAAGCCUGAUCCAGCAACGCCCGCGUGAGGGAUGAAGGUUUUCGGAUCGUAAACCUCUGUUCCUAGGUGAAGAAGAAAGAGACGGUAGCCUAAGGAGGAAAGCCCCGGCUAACUACGUGCCAGCAGCCGCGGUAAUACGUAGGGGGCGAGCGUUAUCCGGAUUUACUGGGUGUAAAGGGAGCGUAGGUGGUUACCUAAGCGCAAGGUUUAAACUAUCGGCUUAACUGAUAAUUGCCUUGCGAACUGGGCUACUUGAGUGCAGGAGGGGAAAGCGGAAUUCCUAGUGUAGCGGUGAAAUGCGUAGAUAUUAGGAGGAACACCAGCGGCGAAGGCGGCUUUCUGGACUGUAACUGACACUGAGGCACGAAAGCGUGGGGAGCAAACAGGAUUAGAUACCCUGGUAGUCCACGCCGUAAACGAUGAGCACUAGGUGUUGGGGCCGAAUGGCUUCAGUGCCGCAGUUAACGCAUUAAGUGCUCCGCCUGGGGAGUACGCUCGCAAGAGUAAAACUCAAAGGAAUUGACGGGGACCCGCACAAGCAGCGGAGCAUGUGGUUUAAUUCGAAGCAACGCGAAGAACCUUACCAGGGCUUGACAUCCCUCUGAAGGACUCCUAACCGGAGUCCUCUCGACAGAGAC